UGGGAAGCCAGUGCCAGUGGUGGGUUUGAGCAGGGAACCAGCAACCAGUGGUGGGUUUGAGCAGGGAACCAGCAAUACUCAAGCUCUGCUAGGAUGGAGGCCAGUCAGGGAGGAGUUAGGGCAGGAGGACCGGUCAGGGAGGAGACUCAGGGCAGGAGGACAGGUCAGGGAGGAGACUUAGGGCAGGAGGACAGGUCAGGGAGGAGUUAGGGCAGGAGGACGGGUCAGGGAGGAGUUAGGGCAGGAGGACCGGUCAGGGAGGAGUUAGGGCUAGAGGAUCGGUCAGGGAGGAGUUAGAGCAGGGGGACUGGUCAGGGAGGAGUUAGGGCAGGAAAAUCGGUCAGGGAGAAGUCAGGGCAGGAGGACUGGUCAGAGAGGAGUUAGGGUAGGAGGCCAGUCAGGGAGGAGUUAAGGGUAGGAGGACCGGUCAGGGAGGAGACUCAGGGCAGGAAGACGGGUCAGGGAGGAGACUUGGGCAGGAGGACCAGUCAGGGAGGAGUUAGGGCAGGAGGACCGGUCAGGGAGGAGUUAGGGCAGGAGGACUGGUCAGGGAGGAGACUUAGGGCAGGAGGACCAGUCAGGGAGGAGUUAGGG
Molecule: long non-coding RNA, 594 nt
Filed under: Pan troglodytes (chimpanzee)
Lineage: Eukaryota; Metazoa; Chordata; Mammalia; Primates; Hominidae
Description: long non-coding RNA NONPTRT012296
Source: RNAcentral